GAGGGAAAGACAUUCAAACUAAACCACAAAGAAUCUUUUAAAGGAGAAUGCAAACAAAUAGGAGCUUAUAGACUCAGUAAAAUUUCUCUAUAAACUGAAUGUCAGCUCUGAAAUGUGCCUUCACAUCAAUAAUGGCAUCCAGCAUGAAAGCUGUAAUAUAAUAGUUUGAUUGUUCCCUUUCCAGUCUUCCUUACAGUCCCCUCUAAAGCAAUUAUUCUGUUCAAAAGAGGAUUUGUUUGUGAUAUUCCUUUAAGAAUCUUUAUUUAUUCCCCCAACAGUUUCUUUUUCUGCAUCCGCUGCUCUGUUAAGUGAUCACCACAUUCAUUGUUCUCGUUUCUAUUAUUUCUGAAAAAAAUCUUCAGGAUUCUGCUUGUGGGAGUGGAUGACAUUUUUACAGUGUUUACAGAGUAAGCAGAUUGGACUGGGACAUGAUCUUCUCUUCAAGAGGGCAGAAGCACAAGGCCCAAUGUAUAAUUGCUAUUCAUAACUCUACUUAUGUGAUAUUUGUUACCUGGGUCCCUACAUUAGCCAAGGCAGAACACAUGGUCAAGCUGAGGUGCAGAGAAUUACACCUUGACUACACAAGAGUAUAAAUACAAGGAGGAGUGAAACUCCAGGGCCAUUACUGUUGCCAAUCUAACACAAAUAGGACACUCCAUUUUUUAAGAUUGUAAGUUCUGCAGGAAAAAUGCCUGAGUCAAUAUCCUGGCCCUACCAGGAGCUCUGUAACCUUGGAAAAAUUACUAAGCCUGGUUUCUCAUUUUAAUAAGGAAAGACAGCAAAACUAUACCUCAUAUCAUUAAUGAGUACACAUUUGUGAGCCCUAUAUCUAACACAAAAUAUGUACCAAAAA
This 853-nucleotide long non-coding RNA is filed under the name Homo sapiens (human). RNAcentral describes it as "long intergenic non-protein coding RNA 1608". The record is from RNAcentral. Lineage: Eukaryota; Metazoa; Chordata; Mammalia; Primates; Hominidae.